UCCCCAUCUAUCUGAUUUCCUGCCUGUACAACAUCCAUUGCACGUCUGCCCGUCCUGGAUGACCCUCUCCACGUAGGCCCCCAGCACACUCCUUCAGCUGUGGCAGAACCACCAACAUGCCCCUCUCAUGGCAAUGCAGCGCCAUCUGGCCAGCCAGUACACACACAGACAGCACUGCACUCCAGACUAGGUCCCUGCUGCGCCCCCCAGGGACAGGGGGAAAGAAGUGCUCGUCCAGGAUGCUUAUGAGCAUGGGGCGGGCCGUGCUCUCCAUCACAUCUUGGAAGACACGAGGCCAGCGCUUGAAGAAUAUGGGGAAGCGAGUGAGGAGCUCAUCUCCAGCGUGACGCAGGGCUGCAGUGCAGGCUGUAGGGGCAGCACCCAUGGAGCCAUCUGCCCCUCCUGUGGUUACAUAUUCUAUGUAGUCAUGGGCCAUAAGAAAAGCCUCUCUCACAAGUGGGUCAGGACUGUUCAGGCCCAGUCUGACCUCUGGCACCUCAGACUGGCACAUGGUCCCCUCUUACUGCCACUUCACUAAUCACCAAGCGGUAGUCUCUUGCCAAGCACCAUACCCAUUCUCUAAGUCGCAUGAGCCUGUUAUGGUGGUGUGAGGAAGCUGGUACAGGAAAUAGUAGUAGUAUGAAAAAAAAAUCACAGUAUAGAAAAGAGAAAAAAUAAACAUGCAUACUACAGGAAAUAAUGUAUUUUCAACUCACCUUCUCCUAAAAGAGAAACACGAGUAGUACCAAAACACACCAUAUACCCAUAGAAAAGAAAGACUAGCGGGUGAAAGAGUGUGUGGAGGAGAGGAGCGUGUUUGUACUGUACGUUGCAUUCACACUGGGUCACCCAGUCCACUUGCCAUCUAAAUAUAGAGUCCUUGUUGGAAACUGACACUGGUCUUCAACCUCACAUGCAACAUGCUGGCCGUCCUGACACAGCCCCAUUUGAACACAAGAAUUGGAGGGUUAGACAAAUAACUAAAAGGACCUGCACACACAGGAGAAACAGGCUAAAGUCAAAGGCAAUGUAUAAUAUUGACAGGUGACAGCUUUCAGUGAGAUAUUGUUGAAGAAAUUCACUGAAGUCUAACUCAGAAGUUUGCUAUGGUGAAGUGAGUUUAAUAAAGUUUACUUGUAUACUGGUGAACUGGCCCACAGUAACUACAUUAAUAUUAUGCACAUACAAGGAAGGUUUUGUUUAUGAAUUAUAAGAAAUUCAUAUGAUUAUGACUUGAUGACUUCUGUUUCGUUGAAUUCAUUCUGUUUGUGUUUUGAGCACUGAGCUGAUAACAUAUUUCUAAUCUUACGUAGCAUGAGUCAGUCAAGGUUUUGAAAUGUCUGUCUCUGCCACAAGGCAAUGCCCUCAUUAGUCUGGAUAAUUCAUAGACCUUGUAGCAAACAGUUUUGCUGGGACUACUUUCUAACACUGAAAUAACAAUUUCUAACUCUAUUUUGUUGCUAGUAGAAAGUAGUUCCAAUGAAAACUUUACAAUGAAAAGUAUGUAAUCAACAUAUUUGCUCUUUUUAUUAAGGGGCUGUGGUAACUGAAUUUUGUGUACAACAUGAUUCGUUUUUCUUUUUUCCAUUAGUAUUGUACAGAGAGUUUUUGGAAAAGAAAGCUCACAGUAAUGUACAUUUUGAGUGAUUAUUUUAUAUGUGCUGUUUUUGUGAUAAUUAUUAUUGUUUUUGCAGCUUUGGAAUUCCAGGAUUUUUUUUUAAGCACUAGCCUAUAUGUAAAGACACAGAAGCAAAUGUUUGCAUUUCUGAUUCAUUCUUGUUACAUAUGCUUUAGUCUAGUCAAUAAAAUGAAAAGAUAUUA
Long non-coding RNA from Scatophagus argus, 1821 nucleotides. RefSeq lists it as uncharacterized. NCBI's taxonomy places the organism in Eukaryota, Metazoa, Chordata, Actinopteri, Scatophagidae. The record is from RefSeq and is a predicted model, not a curated record. The transcript is spliced from 2 exons.